This 506-nucleotide ribosomal RNA is filed under the name uncultured bacterium. Its description in RNAcentral is "partial 16S ribosomal RNA". It matches the Rfam family "Bacterial small subunit ribosomal RNA", at positions 28 to 523 of the family's 1533-position model. The record is from RNAcentral.
GAUGAACGCUAGCUACAGGCUUAACACAUGCAAGUCGAGGGGUAACGAGAGGAAAGCUUGCUUUCCUUGUCGACGACCGGCGCACGGGUGAGUAACGCGUAUCCAACCUGCCCCCAACUAGGGAAUAACCUUGCGAAAGUAAGACUAAUACCCUAUAAUUUCCUCAGAUGACAUCUGACGAGGAAUAAAGAUUUAUCGGUUGUGGAUGGGGAUGCGUCUGAUUAGCUUGUUGGCGGGGUAACGGCCCACCAAGGCAACGAUCAGUAGGGGUUCUGAGAGGAAGGUCCCCCACAAUGGAACUGAUACACGGUCCAAACUCCUACGGGAGGCAGCAGUGAGGAAUAUUGGUCAAUGGGCGGAAGCCUGAACCAGCCAAGUAGCGUGCAGGAUGACGGCCCUAUGGGUUGUAAACUGCUUUUAUACAGGAAUAAAGUUAGCCACGUGUGGUUAUUUGUAGGUACUGUAUGAAUAAGGACCGGCUAAUUCCGUGCCAGCCGCCGCAGUAA